AGCAGUCGCCACGGGAAUACGGAGGGUGCAAGCGUUAAUCGGAAUUACUGGGCGUAAAGCGCACGCAGGCGGUCUGACAAGUCAGAUGUGAAAUCCCCGGGCUUAACCUGGGAACUGCAUUUGAAACUGUCAGGCUGGAGUCUUGUAGAGGGGGGUGGAAUUCCAGGUGUAGCGGUGAAAUGCGUAGAGAUCUGGAGGAAUACCGGUGGCGAAGGCGGCCCCCUGGACAAAGACUGACGCUCAGGUGCGAAAGCGUGGGGAGCAAACAGGAUUAGAUACCCGUGUAGUCCCUGUCUCUUAUAA
This 303-nucleotide ribosomal RNA is filed under the name uncultured bacterium. RNAcentral's name for it is "partial 16S ribosomal RNA". It matches the Rfam family "Bacterial small subunit ribosomal RNA", at positions 507 to 809 of the family's 1533-position model. The record is from RNAcentral.